This 500-nucleotide ribosomal RNA is filed under the name uncultured bacterium. RNAcentral's name for it is "partial 16S ribosomal RNA". It matches the Rfam family "Bacterial small subunit ribosomal RNA", at positions 30 to 523 of the family's 1533-position model. The record is from RNAcentral.
AUUGAACGCUGGCGGCAGGCUUAACACAUGCAAGUCGAGCGGGGGAAGGUAGCUUGCUACCGGACCUAGCGGCGGACGGGUGAGUAAUGCUUAGGAAUCUGCCUAUUAGUGGGGGACAACAUCUCGGAAGGGAUGCUAAUACCGCAUACGUCCUACGGGAGAAAGCAGGGGAUCUUCGGACCUUGCGCUAAUAGAUGAGUCGAAGUCGGAUUAGCUAGUUGGUGGGGUAAAGGCCUACCAAGGCGACGAUCUGUAGCGGGUCUGAGAGGAUGAUCCGCCACACUGGGACUGAGACACGGCCCAGACUCCUACGGGAGGCAGCAGUGGGGAAUAUUGGACAAUGGGGGAACCCUGAUCCAGCCAUGCCGCGUGUGUGAAGAAGGCCUUAUGGUUGUAAAGCACUUUAAGCGAGGAGGAGGCUACUCUAGUUAAUACCUAGGAAUAGUGGACGUUACUCGCAGAAUAAGCACCGGCUAACUCUGUGCCAGCCGCCGCAGUAA